AUCGUAUCCCAGAAUGCACUGGGGCUGAGGAUUCUCUGACAGACAGGAUGUACUGGGACAAACCUCUGCCUGGAUGUCCUGGAGCUCGUAAACAGAUGUUCAUUCAGAGUCUGAUGAGAAGCAGAGCAUGCUGGGAGUCUGAGUGUAGACCUGUAAGUCUGUCGCCUCCCACUUUUACAUCCCAGUGGUUUUAUUGAUCAGUUAAUCUUUCAGCCUCCAGAUAUGAUUAUUGACUUCAGCACUUCAAGUUUUCCUCUGGUUCAGACGAAUCACAACCUCUAAAAAAAACUGAUGAUGAGAUGUUCACCUCUAUCCAACCAUGACUCAGCAUCUUUAAUGGUUUUAGUUUUUCCCACCAUGUGUCUGUUGAGCUCUUCUCCUUCAUCUCCCUGCCUGCUGCAAUGAUCUCCAGCUCCACCCCCCUCUCUCUCCGUCUCCAUCCUCUCCUCCACCUCUCCACGCUCCUCUCUCUGUUGACCCAGAGCUCCAGCGUUCCCAGAGGCAGGAGAUGGUUCUACAGUAUCACUUUGAUCACCUGGACUCUGACGGCGUGCUCAACGAGCGUGAAGCUAGGACGCUGCGUCACUUCCUGCGAAGGCGUCUGAAGCCACGGCGUUGUGCUAAGAAGUUCACCCAGUCCUGUGACAGAGACGCAGACGGCAGGAGCUCAGAGUGUGUGUGGCCCUCACAGAUGAAACUCAGAGAAAUGCUCCUCGAUGAGGCGUCAGACGGCGGCUGAACACUUUCCUCCUGAUUUCUUACAAUCAUCAAAGUUUUUAUCACAGAUUCAGACAAUUACAAACACCUAACGUACAAAUGUUCUGAGAACCGGGAGAAAAGGCGUUGACUAUGGUUCUGGACCCAGAACCGCUGUGGGUCAGAAGUCUGUGAAAUUUUGUGAUUUUUCAAUAAACUGACCCACGUUAAUGAAGCGUGUGUUUAA
This 943-nucleotide long non-coding RNA is filed under the name Gouania willdenowi (blunt-snouted clingfish). RNAcentral describes it as "lncRNA (ENSGWIG00000020950.1)". Lineage: Eukaryota; Metazoa; Chordata; Actinopteri; Blenniiformes; Gobiesocidae. The record is from RNAcentral.